GAUGAACGCUGGCGGCGUGCCUAAUACAUGCAAGUCGAGCGAAUGGAUUAAGAGCUUGCUCUUAUGAAGUUAGCGGCGGACGGGUGAGUAACACGUGGGUAACCUGCCCAUAAGACUGGGAUAACUCCGGGAAACCGGGGCUAAUACCGGAUAACAUUUUGAACCGCAUGGUUCGAAAUUGAAAGGCGGCUUCGGCUGUCACUUAUGGAUGGACCCGCGUCGCAUUAGCUAGUUGGUGAGGUAACGGCUCACCAAGGCAACGAUGCGUAGCCGACCUGAGAGGGUGAUCGGCCACACUGGGACUGAGACGCGGCCCAGACUCCUACGGGAGGCAGCAGUAGGGAAUCUUCCGCAAUGGACGAAAGUCUGACGGAGCAACGCCGCGUGAGUGAUGAAGGCUUUCGGGUCGUAAAACUCUGCUGUUAGGGAAGAACAAGUGCUAGUUGAAUAAGCUGGCACCUUGACGGCACCUAACCAGAAAGCCACGGCUAACUACGUGCCAGCCGCCGCCGUAA
RNAcentral lists this ribosomal RNA (515 nucleotides) under uncultured bacterium. RNAcentral's name for it is "partial 16S ribosomal RNA". It matches the Rfam family "Bacterial small subunit ribosomal RNA", at positions 28 to 523 of the family's 1533-position model. The record is from RNAcentral.